GACGAACGCUGGCGGCGUGCUUAACACAUGCAAGUCGAAUGGAAAGGCCCUGCUUUUGUGGGGUGCUCGAGUGGCGAACGGGUGAGUAACACGUGAGUAACCUGCCCUUGACCUUGGGAUAACUUCAGGAAACUGGGGCUAAUACCGGAUAGGAGCUCCUGCUGCAUGGUGGGGGUUGGAAAGUUUCGGCGGUUGGGGAUGGACUCGCGGCUUAUCAGCUUGUUGGUGGGGUAGUGGCUUACCAAGGCUUUGACGGGUAGCCGGCCUGAGAGGGUGACCGGCCACAUUGGGACUGAGAUACGGCCCAGACUCCUACGGGAGGCAGCAGUGGGGAAUAUUGCACAAUGGGCGGAAGACUGAUGCAGCAACGCCGCGUGCGGGAUGACGGCCUUCGGGUUGUAAACCGCUUUCGCCUGUGACGAAGCGUGAGUGACGGUAAUGGGUAAAGAAGCACCGGCUAACUACGUG
RNAcentral lists this ribosomal RNA (468 nucleotides) under uncultured bacterium. RNAcentral describes it as "partial 16S ribosomal RNA". It matches the Rfam family "Bacterial small subunit ribosomal RNA", at positions 28 to 507 of the family's 1533-position model. The record is from RNAcentral.